GGGGUGUUCGAGUGGCGAACGGGUGAGUAACACGUGAGUAACCUGCCCUUGACUUUGGGAUAACUUCAGGAAACUGGGGCUAAUACCGGAUAGGAGCUCCUGCUGCAUGGUGGGGGUUGGAAAGUUUCGGCGGUUGGGGAUGGACUCGCGGCUUAUCAGCUUGUUGGUGGGGUAGUGGCUUACCAAGGCUUUGACGGGUAGCCGGCCUGAGAGGGUGACCGGCCACAUUGGGACUGAGAUACGGCCCAG
This 249-nucleotide ribosomal RNA is filed under the name uncultured Actinomycetales bacterium. RNAcentral's name for it is "partial 16S ribosomal RNA". It matches the Rfam family "Bacterial small subunit ribosomal RNA", at positions 84 to 334 of the family's 1533-position model. Lineage: Bacteria; Bacillati; Actinomycetota; Actinomycetes; Actinomycetales. The record is from RNAcentral.